Molecule: transfer RNA, 76 nt
Filed under: Blautia obeum
Lineage: Bacteria; Bacillati; Bacillota; Clostridia; Lachnospirales; Lachnospiraceae
Also listed under: 4 other names
Description: tRNA-Met(cat)
Rfam family: tRNA
About the family: Transfer RNA (tRNA) molecules are approximately 80 nucleotides in length. Their secondary structure includes four short double-helical elements and three loops (D, anti-codon, and T loops).
Source: RNAcentral
UGGCGAGAUAGCUCAGUUGGCUAGAGCACACGGUUCAUACCCGUGGUGUCGAGGGUUCGAAUCCCCCUCUCGCUAU